This 570-nucleotide ribosomal RNA is filed under the name Lactarius subplinthogalus. RNAcentral describes it as "partial large subunit ribosomal RNA". It matches the Rfam family "Eukaryotic large subunit ribosomal RNA", at positions 359 to 919 of the family's 3401-position model. The record is from RNAcentral. Lineage: Eukaryota; Fungi; Basidiomycota; Agaricomycetes; Russulales; Russulaceae.
UGAAAGCACUUUGGAAAGAGAGUGAAACAGUACGUGAAAUUGUUGAAAGGGAAACGCUUGAAGUCAGUCGCGUCGACCGAGACUCAGCCUCGCCUUGGCUUGGUGUACUUCUCGGCACGACGGGUCAGCGUCGAUUUCGUCUCUCGGAAAAUGGCAAGGGAAAGGUGGCACCUUUGCGGGUGUGUUAUAGUCUCCUGUCGCACGCGAGGGGUUGGAUCGAGGAACUCAGCACGCGCCUUUUGGUGUCGGGGCUUUGGCCCACGUAACGUGCUUAGGACGCUGGCGUAAUGGCUUUAAACGACCCGUCUUGAAACACGGACCAAGGAGUCCAACAUGCCCGCGAGUGUUCGGGUGGAAAACCCGUGCGCGUAAUUAAAGUGAAAGUUGGGACCUCUGUCGUGGAGGGCACCGACGCCCGGACCAGACCUUCUGUGACGGAUCUGCGGUAGAGCGUGUAUGUUGGGACCCGAAAGAUGGUGAACUAUGCCUGAAUAGGGUGAAGCCAGAGGAAACUCUGGUGGAGGCUCGUAGCGAUUCUGACGUGCAAAUCGAUCGUCAAAUUUGGGUAUA